AACGAACGCUGGCGGCAGGCCUAACACAUGCAAGUCGAGCGGACCCUUCGGGGUUAGCGGCGGACGGGUGAGUAACGCGUGGGAAUAUGCCCUUCUCUACGGAAUAGUCCUGGGAAACUGGGGGUAAUACCGUAUACGCCCUUUGGGGGAAAGAUUUAUCGGGGAAGGAUUAGCCCGCGUUGGAUUAGGUAGUUGGUGGGGUAAUGGCCUACCAAGCCGACGAUCCAUAGCUGGUUUGAGAGGAUGAUCAGCCACACUGGGACUGAGACACGGCCCAGACUCCUACGGGAGGCAGCAGUGGGGAAUCUUAGACAAUGGGGGCAACCCUGAUCGAGCCAUGCCGCGUGAGUGAUGAAGGCCUUAGGGUUGUAAAGCUCUUUCAGCUGGGAAGAUAAUGACGGUACCAGCAGAAGAAGCCCCGGCUAACUCCGUG
RNAcentral lists this ribosomal RNA (433 nucleotides) under uncultured bacterium. RNAcentral's name for it is "partial 16S ribosomal RNA". It matches the Rfam family "Bacterial small subunit ribosomal RNA", at positions 29 to 507 of the family's 1533-position model. The record is from RNAcentral.